This 217-nucleotide small nucleolar RNA is filed under the name Phytophthora kernoviae 00238/432. RNAcentral's name for it is "small nucleolar RNA U3". It matches the Rfam family "Small nucleolar RNA U3". Rfam says of the family: Small nucleolar RNAs (snoRNAs) are involved in the processing and modification of rRNA in the nucleolus. There are two main classes of snoRNAs: the box C/D class, and the box H/ACA class. The record is from RNAcentral. Lineage: Eukaryota; Oomycota; Peronosporomycetes; Peronosporales; Peronosporaceae.
AAGACCGUACUUGUACAGGAUCAUUUCUAUAGUACCUUCUUUUCUACUUGACUUUCNNNNNNNNNNCACCUCCGAUGAUCGUAUUCGGCUUCGUUCAUUGACUCGGGAUGUCGAUGGGUUGUACUUGGUUCUCUUUUGGACUCGGUCACCCUCAUUGAUGAACGUCCGCUGUCGCCUAUUCCAAGGCAGCGUGAGUGAGCGGAGCGAUAUGAGAAGG